UUAGCUAGUUGGCAGGGUAACGGCCCACCAAGGCGACGAUGACUAGGGGAUCUGAGAGGAUGACCCCCCACACUGGUACUGAGACACGGACCAGACUCCUACGGGAGGCAGCAGUAAGGAAUAUUGGUCAAUGGAGGGAACUCUGAACCAGCCAUGCCGCGUGCAGGAAGACAGCCCUCUGGGUCGCAAACUGCUUUUAUUCGGGAAUAAACCUGCUUACGUGUAAGUAGCUGAAUGUACCGAAGGAAUAAGGAUCGGCUAACUCCGUGCCAGCAGCCGCGGUAAUACGGAGGAUCCAAGCGUUAUCCGGAUUUAUUGGGUUUAAAGGGUGCGUAGGCGGCUUAUUAAGUCAGGGGUGAAAGACGGUGGCUCAACCAUCGCAGUGCCCUUGAUACUGAUGAGCUUGAAUACACUAGAGGUAGGCGGAAUGUGACAAGUAGCGGUGAAAUGCAUAGAUAUGUCACAGAACACCGAUUGCGAAGGCAGCUUACUAUGGUGUGAUUGACGCUGAGGCACGAAAGCGUGGGGAUCAAACAGGAUUAGAUACCCUGGUAGUCCACGCCCUAAACGAUGAAUACUCGCUGUUAGCGAUAUACAGUUAGCGGCUAAGCGAAAGCGUUAAGUAUUCCACCUGGGGAGUACGCCCGCAAGGGUGAAACUCAAAGGAAUUGACGGGGGCCCGCACAAGCGGAGGAGCAUGUGGUUUAAUUCGAUGAUACGCGAGGAACCUUACCCGGGCUUGAAAGUUAGUGAAUUAUCUAGAGAUAGAUAAGUGAGCAAUCACACGAAACUAGGUGCUGCAUGGCUGUCGUCAGCUCGUGCCGUGAGGUGUUGGGUUAAGUCCCGCAACGAGCGCAACCCCUAUGUUUAGUUGCCAGCACGUUAAGGUGGGGACUCUAAACAGACUGCCUGUGCAAACAGAGAGGAAGGAGGGGACGACGUCAAGUCAUCAUGGCCCUUACGUCCGGGGCUACACACGUGCUACAAUGGAUGGUACAGAGGGCAGCGAGCUAGUAAUAGCAAGCGAAUCUCAAAAAGCCAUUCACAGUUCGGAUAGAGGUCUGCAACUCGACCUCUUGAAGUUGGAUUCGCUAGUAAUCGCGUAUCAGCAAUGACGCGGUGAAUACGUUCCCGGGCCUUGUACACACCGCCCGUCAAGCCAUGGAAGUUGGGGGUACCUAAAGUACGUAACCGCAAGGAGCGUCCUAGGGUAAAACCGAUAACUGGGGCUAAGUCGUAACAAGGUA
Molecule: ribosomal RNA, 1247 nt
Filed under: metagenome
Description: bacterial SSU rRNA
Rfam family: Bacterial small subunit ribosomal RNA
Source: RNAcentral